This 468-nucleotide ribosomal RNA is filed under the name uncultured bacterium. RNAcentral's name for it is "partial 16S ribosomal RNA". It matches the Rfam family "Bacterial small subunit ribosomal RNA", at positions 28 to 506 of the family's 1533-position model. The record is from RNAcentral.
GACGAACGCUGGCGGCGUGCUUAACACAUGCAAGUCGAACGGAAAGGCCCUGCUUGCAGGGUGCUCGAGUGGCGAACGGGUGAGUAACACGUGGGUGAUCUGCCCCUUACUUUGGGAUAAGCCUGGGAAACUGGGUCUAAUACUGGAUAGGACCAUGCUGUAGGUGGUGUGGUGGAAAGAUUAGUUUCGGUAAGGGAUGAGCUCGCGGCCUAUCAGCUUGUUGGUGGGGUAAUGGCCUACCAAGGCGUCGACGGGUAGCCGGCCUGAGAGGGUGGACGGCCACAUUGGGACUGAGAUACGGCCCAGACUCCGACGGGAGGCAGCAGUGGGGAAUAUUGCACAAUGGGCGCAAGCCUGAUGCAGCGACGCCGCGUGGGGGAUGACGGCCUUCGGGUUGUAAACUCCUUUCAGCCAUGACGAAGCCCUUGUGGUGACGGUAGUGGUAGAAGAAGCACCGGCGAACUACGU